AUUGUUCCACUACAAGAUGGACCUGCGUUGUAUUAACUAGUAGGUGAGGUAAUGGCUCACCUAGGCGACGAUACAUAGCCGACCUGAGAGGGUGAUCGGCCACACUGGGACUGAGACACGGCCCAGACUCCUACGGGAGGCAGCAGUAGGGAAUCUUCGGCAAUGGGGGGCAACCCUGACCGAGCAACGCCGCGUGAGUGAAGAAGGUUUUCGGAUCGUAAAGCUCUGUUGUAAGUCAAGAACGGGUGUGAGAGUGGAAAGUUCACACUGUGACGGUAGCUUACCAGAAAGGGACGGCUAACUACGUGCCAGCAGCCGCGGUAAUACGUAGGUCCCGAGCGUUGUCCGGAUUUAUUGGGCGUAAAGCGAGCGCAGGCGGUUUGAUAAGUCUGAAGUUAAAGGCUGUGGCUCAACCAUAGUUCGCUUUGGAAACUGUCAAACUUGAGUGCAGAAGGGGAGAGUGGAAUUCCGAUGUGUAGCGGUGAAAUGCGUAGAUAUAUGGAGGAACACCGGUGGCGAAAGCGGCUCUCUGGUCUGUUAACCG
This 544-nucleotide ribosomal RNA is filed under the name uncultured bacterium. Its description in RNAcentral is "bacterial SSU rRNA". It matches the Rfam family "Bacterial small subunit ribosomal RNA", at positions 209 to 742 of the family's 1533-position model. The record is from RNAcentral.